AAGUCGUAACAAGGUAACCGUAGGUGAACCUGCGGUUGGAUCAUUAUAAAACUUUGGAUUCGUUUGGAAAGAAGAACACUCGGAUCUCUGUGACCAGUUUUCAAGUACGAAUGAAACUCCCUUUCUAAAAGGGGGUACCCACAUUGUGUGAACCUGUACAUUUCCCUCUCCGGGGAUGUCUUGUGCUCAACUUUUGUGUUUUGGGGAAUGCUUCUGAGAGUUCGACUGGGGCAGAUGUUCCGGUCUUUUUUGAACACAAUCAUUCAAAAACAACUUUUGGCAACGGAUCUCUUGGCUCUC
RNAcentral lists this unclassified non-coding RNA (300 nucleotides) under fungal sp. Its description in RNAcentral is "partial internal transcribed spacer region". The stretch from base 1 to 46 matches the Rfam family "Eukaryotic small subunit ribosomal RNA", at positions 1786 to 1831 of the family's 1831-position model. Lineage: Eukaryota; Fungi. The record is from RNAcentral.